Molecule: non-coding RNA, 23 nt
Filed under: Mus musculus (house mouse)
Lineage: Eukaryota; Metazoa; Chordata; Mammalia; Rodentia; Muridae
Source: RNAcentral
UGUGAAGAUUCGAUGUGUUAUGC